UUUUAUUCUUAGGCUAAAGCCUAGCAUUAAUUAUUUGGAUAUAGUCACUAGGUGUAAUCACAAGUGCCAGUUUGUUUUAGCUGAUCUCAUUUGAGGUACAUUUUGGUCUGAGAAAGUACUAGAUCAUCUCUGCACAAGAGAUGUCAUGCAGAGUACCCUCCCCACCUCUGAAAGAAGUAAAUUAAUUGAGCUUUUUACUCAGGUGAAUAAAUCAAUGUGAGUAAGACGGAAAAAUACAAAACGCUUAUGGCUUCUUUUGUUUUCCAGUGUUCUGGACUUGGUGCCUCUUUCUGUUAUAUGCUUUCCUAUUUAGUUGGGAGACCAGUUGUAUACAAAUACCUAACAGAGAAAGCAGUAAAAUGGUCACAGCAGGUUGAACGUCAUAGAGAACAUCUCAUUAACUACAUUAUAUUUUUGAGAAUAACACCAUUUCUGCCUAAUUGGUUUAUUAAUAUCACAUCUCCUGUGAUAAACGUGCCAUUGAAAGUUUUUUUUAUUGGUACUUUUCUAGGUGUCGCACCUCCUUCUUUUGUAGCCAUUAAGGCAGGAACAACACUGUAUCAACUUACAACAGCAGGAGAAGCUGUUUCCUGGAACUCAAUAUUUAUUCUGAUGAUCUUGGCUGUUCUUUCUAUUCUGCCAGCCAUCUUCCAAAAAAAACUAAAGCAGAAAUUUGAGUAAAAAUAAUCAUCUGAUUUUUAGUUUUGCUGUCAUCACCAUCUCAGGAUUAACAGGUGCAUCCAUUUAUGUUUUAAAAUCACCUCUUCAGUAAUUAAACAAGGAAUUUGUAAAAUAAAAUUUCCUAUCAGAUAGUUAAAGUAAUACAUUUAAGUGACAAGGGGAGAAGAAAGUAAAAAUGGAAAUUGGUAUACUGUGAAAAGUGCUAUCAAUAGUUAAGGUAGACAUCUUAGACAUCUUAUAAAUUAUUAUACCAAGGGUAGCUGUAGAUAAUAGUAGUGUGGUAGG
Molecule: long non-coding RNA, 966 nt
Filed under: Homo sapiens (human)
Lineage: Eukaryota; Metazoa; Chordata; Mammalia; Primates; Hominidae
Description: non-protein coding lnc-DENND5A-2:2
Source: RNAcentral